CGCGAUUCGCCCUUCGGGGUGCACCAGGCGCGAAAACUUUACAAUGCCGGCAACGGCGAUAAGGGGACCUCGAGUGCCAGGUUACAAAUCUGGCUGUCGUGAUGCCUAAAAAGCAUUGCAUAGCAAGGGCCGGGCAAGACCGGUGCCAGCCGCCGCGGUAACACCGGCGGCUCGAGUGGUAACCGUUAUUAUUGGGUCUAAAGGGUCUGUAGCCGGCCGGAUAAGUCUCUUGGGAAAUCCAGCAGCUCAACUGUUGGGCUUUCAGGAGAUACUGUCUGGCUCGAGGCCGGGAGAGGUGAGAGGUACUUCAGGGGUAGGGGUGAAAUCUUGUAAUCCUUGAAGGACCACCAGUGGCGAAGGCGUCUCACCAGAACGGACCUGACGGCAAGGGACGAAAGCUAGGGGCACGAACCGGAUUAGAUACCCGGGUAGUCCUAGCCGUAAACGAUACUCGCUAGGUGUCGGCCACGGUGCGACCGUUGUCGGUGCCGUAGGGAAGCCGUGAAGCGAGCCACCUGGGAAGUACGGCCGCAAGGCUGAAACUUAAAGGAAUUGGCGGGGGAGCAC
RNAcentral lists this ribosomal RNA (567 nucleotides) under uncultured archaeon. RNAcentral's name for it is "bacterial SSU rRNA". It matches the Rfam family "Archaeal small subunit ribosomal RNA", at positions 312 to 879 of the family's 1478-position model. The record is from RNAcentral.